UAAUUAUUCUGUAUAUAGAGUAUGAAAGAAAUUAGUGUUUCAUCGUCAUCGAUAAUAAUAUCGAAGUACGUAUUUUUCAUCGUUCUCAUAACAAUACCGAUACUCCUUUUUCUCUCUCAUCGGAGUUCAUCUUCUUCCGUUAUCAUCUCCACCACAACAACAUCAAAUUCCGAUUCCGAUCUCAAAAUCCGUCCAGGAUAUUCGAGCUACGAUUCCUACAUUAAGAAACAGCUAAACAAAACACUCAAUCCAAAACUUCGAAAAAUCUGGACGACUCGUGAUUGGGAUAGAAAAAUUGAAGUUUUCUCAAAAUUCUUCGGAGAACUUAGAAAUAGAAAUUUACUCUCAGAUUCAUCGAAAGUACUCUGUAUUGGUGCUCGUAUGGGUCAGGAAGUGGAAGCACUGAAACGAGUCGGAGUUUCUGAUUCAGUUGGAAUGGACCUUGUACCGUAUCCGCCAUUAGUGGUUAAAGGAGAUUUUCAUAAUCAGCCGUUCGACGAUGAGAUUUUUGAUCUGGAAUUUUCUAAUGUAUUUGAUCACGCGCUUUUCCCGGAGAAAUUUGUAUCGGAGAUCGAACGGACAUUGAAGACCGGCGGGAUUUGUGUGUUACACGUGUCGUUAUCUAAACGAGCGGAUAAGUAUUCGGCGAAUGAUUUG
RNAcentral lists this unclassified non-coding RNA (657 nucleotides) under Hevea brasiliensis (rubber tree). The record is from RNAcentral. Lineage: Eukaryota; Viridiplantae; Streptophyta; Magnoliopsida; Malpighiales; Euphorbiaceae.